RNAcentral lists this ribosomal RNA (496 nucleotides) under uncultured bacterium. Its description in RNAcentral is "bacterial SSU rRNA". It matches the Rfam family "Bacterial small subunit ribosomal RNA", at positions 28 to 504 of the family's 1533-position model. The record is from RNAcentral.
GACGAACGCUGGCGGCGUGCCUAAUACAUGCAAGUCGUGCGGACCUUUUAAAAGCUUGCUUUUAAAAGGUUAGCGGCGGACGGGUGAGUAACACGUGGGCAACCUGCCUGUAAGACUGGGAUAACGCCGGGAAACCGGGGCUAAUACCGGAUCGUUUUUUCCUCCGCAUGGAGGAAAAAGGAAAGGCGGCUUCGGCUGCCACUUACAGAUGGGCCCGCGGCGCAUUAGCUAGUUGGCGGGGUAACGGCCCACCAAGGCAACGAUGCGUAGCCGACCUGAGAGGGUGAUCGGCCACAUUGGGACUGAGACACGGCCCAAACUCCUACGGGAGGCAGCAGUAGGGAAUCUUCCGCAAUGGACGAAAGUCUGACGGAGCAACGCCGCGUGAGUGAAGAAGGCCUUCGGGUCGUAAAACUCUGUUGCCGGGGAAGAACAAGUGCCGUUCGAACAGGGCGGCGCCUUGACGGUACCCGGCCAGAAAGCCACGGCUAACUAC